CCUGAGAAACCCAAAAGAUCGAAUGGGGAGAUUCAUCGUCAGCGGCGCUGGCUUCCGUGCGGCGCGCGAUGGCGGGGACCUCGGUCUCGCGUCACGCCGCCGCUGCGGCAUGCCCGGCGUCGUCGGCGUGCACUUCUCCCCUAGUAGGACGUCGCGACCCGUUGGGUGUCGGAUCGAUGGCCGGUCGGUCGUCUGUCGUGCUCUCGCGCUUCAGACCGUCCGGUCGAACGUCCGACUGCCCGGCGGUAUCGAACGUUGAAAACUGGUACUGGGCCGCAUUCAGUGCGUUCCUGGCUCGUCGGCAGGCUCGUCUCGCUCGGAUUUACGGACCUAGCGCCGUUGCCGGGCGCUUGGCGUCGGCCGUUAGUCGGCGAUGUCCUCGGACUGGCUCUUACCGGUCUGCAACGCUACUGCUUUGGGUACUUUC
Molecule: ribosomal RNA, 427 nt
Filed under: Diglyphus isaea
Lineage: Eukaryota; Metazoa; Arthropoda; Insecta; Hymenoptera; Eulophidae
Description: eukaryotic LSU rRNA
Source: RNAcentral